This 382-nucleotide ribosomal RNA is filed under the name uncultured eukaryote. Its description in RNAcentral is "partial 18S ribosomal RNA". It matches the Rfam family "Eukaryotic small subunit ribosomal RNA", at positions 592 to 976 of the family's 1831-position model. The record is from RNAcentral.
UGUAAGCGUAUACCAAAGUUGUUGCAGUUAAAACGCUCGUAGUCGGAACUUGGCAGUUCCGGAAGUGUGCACGUCGUGUGCGCACUUUGCAGGGACUGCUUUUGUGGUCUUGCGUAGGAUGAGGCACUUUUAUUAGUGAACGUCCUCACGCAACCACUCUUUACUGUGAGAAAAUCAGAGUGCUCAAAGCAGGCAUUUGCCGUGAAUGUAUUAGCAUGGAAUAAUAGAAUAGGACUCGGUUCUAUUUUGUUGGUUUGUUGGGACUGAGUAAUGGUUAAGAGGGACAGUUGGGGGCAUUUGUAUUUCGGCGCUAGAGGUGAAAUUCUUAGAUUGCCGAAAGACAAACUGCUGCGAAAGCGUCUGCCAAGGAUGUUUUCAUUGA